This 497-nucleotide ribosomal RNA is filed under the name uncultured bacterium. Its description in RNAcentral is "partial 16S ribosomal RNA". It matches the Rfam family "Bacterial small subunit ribosomal RNA", at positions 28 to 507 of the family's 1533-position model. The record is from RNAcentral.
GAUGAACGCUGGCGGCGUGCCUAAUACAUGCAAGUCGAGCGAACAGACGAGGAGCUUGCUCCUCUGACGUUAGCGGCGGACGGGUGAGUAACACGUGGAUAACCUACCUAUAAGACUGGGAUAACUUCGGGAAACCGGAGCUAAUACCGGAGAAUAUAUUGAACCGCAUGGUUCAAUAGUGAAAGACGGUUUUGCUGUCACUUAUAGAUGGAUCCGCGCCGCAUUAGCUAGUUGGUAAGGUAACGGCUUACCAAGGCAACGAUGCGUAGCCGGCCUGAGAGGGUGAUCGGCCACACUGGAACUGAGACACGGUCCAGACUCCUACGGGAGGCAGCAGUAGGGAAUCUUCCACAAUGGGCGAAAGCCUGACGGAGCAACGCCGCGUGAGUGAUGAAGGUCUUCGGAUCGUAAAACUCUGUUAUUAGGGAAGAACAAAUGUGUAAGUAACUAUGCACGUCCUGACGGUACCUAAUCAGAAAGCCACGGCUAACUACGUG